UGGGGAAUUUUGGACAAUGGGCGAAAGCCUGAUCCAGCAAUGCCGCGUGUGUGAAGAAGGCCUUCGGGUUGUAAAGCACUUUUGUCCGGAAAGAAAUCCUUGGCUCUAAUACAGUCGGGGGAUGACGGUACCGGAAGAAUAAGCACCGGCUAACUACGUGCCAGCAGCCGCGGUAAUACGUAGGGUGCAAGCGUUAAUCGGAAUUACUGGGCGUAAAGCGUGCGCAGGCGGUUUGCUAAGACCGAUGUGAAAUCCCCGGGCUCAACCUGGGAACUGCAUUGGUGACUGGCAGGCUAGAGUAUGGCAGAGGGGGGUAGAAUUCCACGUGUAGCAGUGAAAUGCGUAGAGAUGUGGAGGAAUACCGAUGGCGAAGGCAGCCCCCUGGGCCAAUACUGACGCUCAUGCACGAAAGCGUGGGGAGCAAACAGGAUUAGAUACCCUGGUAGUCCACGCCCUAAACGAUGUCAACUAGUUGUUGGGGAUUCAUUUCCUAGUAACGUAGCUAACGCGUGAAGUUGACCGCCUGGGGGAGUACGGUCGCAAGAUUAAAACUC
RNAcentral lists this ribosomal RNA (554 nucleotides) under uncultured bacterium. RNAcentral describes it as "partial 16S ribosomal RNA". It matches the Rfam family "Bacterial small subunit ribosomal RNA", at positions 355 to 902 of the family's 1533-position model. The record is from RNAcentral.